UACGUAGGGACCAAGCGUUGUUCGGAAUUACUGGGCGUAAAGCGCGCGCAGGCGGUCCUUUAAGUCGGGGGUGAAAGCCCAGAGCUCAACUCUGGAACUGCCUUCGAAACUAGAGGACUUGGGUACGGGAGAGGUGAGUGGAAUUCCGAGUGUAGAGGUGAAAUUCGUAGAUAUUCGGAAGAACACCAGUGGCGAAGGCGGCUCACUGGCCCGUUACCGACGCUCAGGCGCGACAGCGUGGGGAGCAAACAGG
This 253-nucleotide ribosomal RNA is filed under the name uncultured bacterium. Its description in RNAcentral is "partial 16S ribosomal RNA". It matches the Rfam family "Bacterial small subunit ribosomal RNA", at positions 524 to 776 of the family's 1533-position model. The record is from RNAcentral.